AGUAGAAUAGCAGGCUUAUCACAGGUUCCUUUAACCCACUGUGAGAUUCUUCUAUUCUACUUU
Molecule: microRNA precursor, 63 nt
Filed under: Drosophila ananassae
Lineage: Eukaryota; Metazoa; Arthropoda; Insecta; Diptera; Drosophilidae
Description: Dan-Mir-1175_pre stem-loop
Source: RNAcentral